GCAGGCUGCAACCCGACCCUGCAUGAAGUCGGAAUUGCUAGUAAUCGCGGAUCAGCAUGCCGCCGGUGAAUACGUUCCCGGGCCUUGUACACACCGCCCGUCACACCAUGGGAGCCGGUAAUACCCGAAGCCUGUGAGCUAACAGUAAUGAGGCAGCAGUCGAAGGUAGAGCCAAUGAUUGGGGUGAAGUCGUAACAAGGUAUC
RNAcentral lists this ribosomal RNA (204 nucleotides) under uncultured bacterium. Its description in RNAcentral is "partial 16S ribosomal RNA". It matches the Rfam family "Bacterial small subunit ribosomal RNA", at positions 1300 to 1500 of the family's 1533-position model. The record is from RNAcentral.